This 706-nucleotide ribosomal RNA is filed under the name Bacillus subtilis. RNAcentral describes it as "bacterial SSU rRNA". It matches the Rfam family "Bacterial small subunit ribosomal RNA", at positions 332 to 1031 of the family's 1533-position model. Lineage: Bacteria; Bacillati; Bacillota; Bacilli; Caryophanales; Bacillaceae. The record is from RNAcentral.
CGGACUCCUACGGGAGGCUGUUACUAGGAAUCUUCCGCAAUGGACAAAAGUCUGACGGAGCAACGCCACGUGAGUGAUGAAGGUUUUCGGAUCUUAAAGCUCUGUUGUUAGGGAAGAACAAGUACCGUUCGAAUAGGGCGGUACCUUGACGGUACCUAACCAGAAAGCCACGGCUAACUACGUGCCAGCAGCCGCGGUAAUACGUAGGUGGCAAGCGUUGUCCGGAAUUAUUGGGCGUAAAGGGCUCGCAGGCGGUUUCUUAAGUCUGAUGUGAAAGCCCCCGGCUCAACCGGGGAGGGUCAUUGGAAACUGGGGAACUUGAGUGCAGAAGAGGAGAGUGGAAUUCCACGUGUAGCGGUGAAAUGCGUAGAGAUGUGGAGGAACACCAGUGGCGAAGGCGACUCUCUGGUCUGUAACUGACGCUGAGGAGCGAAAGCGUGGGGAGCGAACAGGAUUAGAUACCCUGGUAGUCCACGCCGUAACGAUGAGUGCUAAGUGUUAGGGGGUUUCCGCCCCUUAGUGCUGCAGCUAACGCAUUAAGCACUCCGCCUGGGGAGUACGGUCGCAAGACUGAAACUCAAAGGAAUUGACGGGGGCCCGCACAAGCGUGGAGCAUGUGGUUUAAUUCGAAGCCAACGCGAAGAACCUUACCAGGUCUUGACAUCCUCUGACCAUCCUAGAAUAGGACGUCCCCUUCGGGGCAAAU